This 253-nucleotide ribosomal RNA is filed under the name uncultured bacterium. RNAcentral describes it as "partial 16S ribosomal RNA". It matches the Rfam family "Bacterial small subunit ribosomal RNA", at positions 524 to 776 of the family's 1533-position model. The record is from RNAcentral.
UACGGGGGGGGCAAGCGUUGUUCGGAAUUACUGGGCGUAAAGGGUUCGUAGGUGGCCGGCUAAGUCAGACGUGAAAUCCCCAGGCUUAACUUGGGAACUGCGUCUGAUACUGGGAGGCUUGAAUGCGGGAGAGGGAUGUGGAAUUCCAGGUGUAGCGGUGAAAUGCGUAGAUAUCUGGAGGAACACCGGUGGCGAAGGCGGCAUCCUGGACCGACAUUGACGCUGAGGCGCGAAAGCUAGGGGAGCAAACGGG